Eurytemora carolleeae is the source of this 186-nucleotide long non-coding RNA. RefSeq lists it as uncharacterized. The record is from RefSeq and is a predicted model, not a curated record. The transcript is spliced from 2 exons. NCBI's taxonomy places the organism in Eukaryota, Metazoa, Arthropoda, Copepoda, Calanoida, Temoridae.
CACUGAAAUCAUUAUUCUUCAGUUCCCUGUUCCAGCUGGGGCCUGCUGCUAUAUAUCCCCGGGUUUAUGAAUGUGGACCAGGCAGAUCGUUGUCAGCCAUACUCAGCAAGGUGAAUGGUAAAGCUGCAAAGAAUUGUCAGUUCAUCUCUGUUUAGUUUAUUUAUUAAUAAAUUAUAAAAAUAUUUG